This 490-nucleotide ribosomal RNA is filed under the name Limosilactobacillus mucosae. RNAcentral describes it as "bacterial SSU rRNA". It matches the Rfam family "Bacterial small subunit ribosomal RNA", at positions 62 to 508 of the family's 1533-position model. The record is from RNAcentral. Lineage: Bacteria; Bacillati; Bacillota; Bacilli; Lactobacillales; Lactobacillaceae.
UCGAACGCGUUGGCCCAACUGAUUGAACGUGCUUGCACGGACUUGACGUUGGUUUACCAGCGAGUGGCGGACGGGUGAGUAACACGUAGGUAACCUGCCCCAAAGCGGGGGAUAACAUUUGGAAACAGAUGCUAAUACCGCAUAACAAUUUGAAUCGCAUGAUUCAAAUUUAAAAGAUGGCUUCGGCUAUCACUUUGGGAUGGACCUGCGGCGCAUUAGCUUGUUGGUAGGGUAACGGCCUACCAAGGCUGUGAUGCGUAGCCGAGUUGAGAGACUGAUCGGCCACAAUGGAACUGAGACACGGUCCAUACUCCUACGGGAGGCAGCAGUAGGGAAUCUUCCACAAUGGGCGCAAGCCUGAUGGAGCAACACCGCGUGAGUGAAGAAGGGUUUCGGCUCGUAAAGCUCUGUUGUUAGAGAAGAACGUGCGUGAGAGCAACUGUUCACGCAGUGACGGUAUCUAACCAGAAAGUCACGGCUAACUACGUGC